AUUGAACGCUGGCGGCAUGCCUUACACAUGCAAGUCGAACGGCAGCACAGGAGAGCUUGCUCUCUGGGUGGCGAGUGGCGGACGGGUGAGGAAUACAUCGGAAUCUACUUUUUCGUGGGGGAUAACGUAGGGAAACUUACGCUAAUACCGCAUACGACCUACGGGUGAAAGCAGGGGACCUUCGUGCCUUGCGCGAUUGAAUGAGCCGAUGUCGGAUUAGCUAGUUGGCGGGGUAAAGGCCCACCAAGGCGCCCAUCCGUAGCUGGUCUGAGAGGAUGAACAGCCACACUGGAACUGAGACAAGGUCCAGACUCCUUAGGGAGGCAGCAGUGGGGAAUAUUGGACAAUGGGCGCAAGCAUGAUCCAGCCAUACCGCGUGGGUGAAGAAGGCCUUCGGGUUGUAAAGCCCUUUUGUUGGGAAAGAAAUCCAGCUGGCUAAUACCCGGUUGGGAUGACGGUACCCAAAGAAUAAGCACCGGCUAACUUUGUGCCAGCCGCCGCGGUAA
This 506-nucleotide ribosomal RNA is filed under the name uncultured bacterium. RNAcentral describes it as "partial 16S ribosomal RNA". It matches the Rfam family "Bacterial small subunit ribosomal RNA", at positions 30 to 523 of the family's 1533-position model. The record is from RNAcentral.